CCUACGGGUGGCUGCAGUUUCGAAUCCUUCACAAUGGGCGAAAGCCUGAUGGUGCGACGCCGCGUGAGGGAUGAAGGUCUUCGGAUUGUAAACCUCUGUCACUGGGGAGAAAACGCUUUGAGUUAAUAGUUCAAAGCCUGAUUUAACCCGGAGAGGAAGCAGUGGCUAACUCUGUGCCAGCAGCCGCGGUAAUACAGAGACUGCAACACUUAGUCGGAAUCACUGGGAGGCGGUUGUGUGCGGCAGAUGUGAAAUCCCGAGGCUUAACCUCGGAACUGCGUCUGAAGCUACUCGACUAGAGUACUGGAGAGGGAAACGGAAUUCACGGUGUAGCAGUGAAAUGCGUAGAUAUCGUGAGGAACACCAGAGGCGAAGGCGGUUUCCUGGACAGUUACUGACGCUCAGGCACGAAAGCAUGGGGAGCAAAAGGGAUUAGAUACCCCUGUAGUC
This 450-nucleotide ribosomal RNA is filed under the name uncultured bacterium. RNAcentral describes it as "partial 16S ribosomal RNA". It matches the Rfam family "Bacterial small subunit ribosomal RNA", at positions 338 to 795 of the family's 1533-position model. The record is from RNAcentral.